This is a long non-coding RNA of Siniperca chuatsi (mandarin fish), 251 nucleotides long. RefSeq lists it as uncharacterized. The record is from RefSeq and is a predicted model, not a curated record. The transcript is spliced from 3 exons. Lineage: Eukaryota; Metazoa; Chordata; Actinopteri; Centrarchiformes; Sinipercidae.
UAUUUGCAGGGAGAUGGCAUCAGCCUCGGGCUCUUGAUGAGGAGACUGUCUACAGUCACAGAUGAAGAGAUGUCCAUUCAAUAUACAAGCGGCAUCUGUUCAUUGACACUAAAAGCCAGAAACUGGACAAAAAGCUAAAAAUUAAGAAAUUGGAGAAACAAACUGAAGAAUGAUCUGGAACAAAAUGAGUGAAUUAAUAUAUAACUUCUAACACAACUUUGGCACACUUUUCUUUCUUAAAUUAUACAUGC